UAGGGAAUUUUGCGCAAUGGGCGAAAGCCUGACGCAGCAACACCGCGUGAGCGAUGAAGCCCCUUGGGGUGUAAAGCUCUGUCAGUUGGGACGAAUUCUGACGGUACCAACAGAGGAAGCAUCGGCUAACUACGUGCCAGCAGCCGCGGUAAGACGUAGGAUGCAAGCGUUGUCCGGAAUUAUUGGGCGUAAAGCGUUCGUAGGCGGUAUGUCAAGUCUGGUGUCAAAGCCUGGAGCUCAACUCCAGUUCGGCAUUGGAUACUGGCAAACUAGAGUGCAGGAGAGGCAAGGGGAAUUCCUAGUGUAGCGGUGAAAUGCGUAGAUAUUAGGAGGAACACCGGUGGCGUAAGCGCCUUGCUGGACUGUUACUGACGCUGAGGAACGAAAGCCAGGGGAGCAA
This 400-nucleotide ribosomal RNA is filed under the name uncultured bacterium. Its description in RNAcentral is "bacterial SSU rRNA". It matches the Rfam family "Bacterial small subunit ribosomal RNA", at positions 355 to 771 of the family's 1533-position model. The record is from RNAcentral.